This 393-nucleotide ribosomal RNA is filed under the name uncultured bacterium. RNAcentral describes it as "partial 16S ribosomal RNA". It matches the Rfam family "Bacterial small subunit ribosomal RNA", at positions 523 to 918 of the family's 1533-position model. The record is from RNAcentral.
AUACGGAGGAUGCAAGCGUUAUCCGGAUUUAUUGGGGUUAAAGGGUGCGUAGGCGGAGGAGUAAGUCAGGGGUGAAAUGCCGCGGCUCAACUGCGGAACUGCAUUUGAUACUGCUUUUCUGGAGUGCGGAUGCGGUGGGAGGAAUGGGAAGUGUAGCGGUGAAAUGCAUAUAUAUUGACCAAAACACCGAUUGCGAAGGCAACUCACGAAUCCGAGACGUACGCUGAGGCACGAAAGCGGGGGGAACAAACAGGAUUAGCUUGCUUGGUAGUGCCCGCAACAAUCAAUGAUAGCUAUCCGGCGGCAAAAGGAUUUCGGUGGCCACGCAAACGCAAUAAGUUAUCCACCUGGGGAGUACGUUCGCAAGAAUGAAACUCAAAGGAAUUGACGGGG